GAUGAACGCUAGCUACAGGCUUAACACAUGCAAGUCGAGGGGAAACGACAUCGAAAGCUUGCUUUUGAUGGGCGUCGACCGGCGCACGGGUGAGUAACGCGUAUCCAACCUGCCCAUCACUUGGGGAUAACCUUGCGAAAGUAAGACUAAUACCCAAUGAUAUCUCUAGAAGACGUCUGAAAGAGAUUAAAGAUUUAUCGGUGAUGGAUGGGGAUGCGUCUGAUUAGCUUGUUGGCGGGGUAACGGCCCACCAAGGCAACGAUCAGUAGGGGUUCUGAGAGGAAGGUCCCCCACAUUGGAACUGAGACACGGUCCAAACUCCUACGGGAGGCAGCAGUGAGGAAUAUUGGUCAAUGGGCGAGAGCCUGAACCAGCCAAGUAGCGUGCAGGAAGACGGCCCUAUGGGUUGUAAACUGCUUUUAUAAGGGAAUAAAGUGAGAGUCGUGACUCUUUUUGUAUGUACCUUAUGAAUAAGGACCGGCUAAUUCCGUG
This 492-nucleotide ribosomal RNA is filed under the name uncultured bacterium. RNAcentral's name for it is "partial 16S ribosomal RNA". It matches the Rfam family "Bacterial small subunit ribosomal RNA", at positions 28 to 507 of the family's 1533-position model. The record is from RNAcentral.